GCUUAUCAUUUGGAGGGGGUGAUUCAUGGCAGAGCUAGUGGGGUUGACAAUACAGUUGCUUCUUUUGGAGGGGCCGUGGUUUUUCAGUCUGGAGAUAUGGACUUAGU
RNAcentral lists this non-coding RNA (107 nucleotides) under Paramoeba aestuarina. The record is from RNAcentral. Lineage: Eukaryota; Discosea; Flabellinia; Dactylopodida; Paramoebidae.